This 421-nucleotide long non-coding RNA is filed under the name Cavia porcellus (domestic guinea pig). Its description in RNAcentral is "lncRNA (ENSCPOG00000033127.1)". The record is from RNAcentral. Lineage: Eukaryota; Metazoa; Chordata; Mammalia; Rodentia; Caviidae.
GAGCCGGCGAGCUCCGGGGAGCCGCCACGCCGCACCCGGCCGGCCGCACCGGCCCUGGGCGCGUCCCCGUCCCGCGCGGGCCCCGCCGGAGCUCGGCUCUGCAGCGGGGACGCAGACGAUCGCGCGGUCCUCCUCCCGCGCGCACACGCGUGGCUCUGCGUCCCCCUUCACUAGUUCCCAGACACAGCCGCCGCCGCCCGGGUUAACUCACUUGUGCCCUUGCACAUGGAAAUCAAGUGAUCUGAGGCUUGGACUACACUGUCAACAAGUAAAAACUUGUCGUGUGGCCGGCCGGCCGUUGCUGCUAGGAAAGAAGCCAGUCGAUUUAAAGGAAAAGCAACGCAUCUUGGACCAGAUCCCAAGCAAAGUCCAGGGAGCACGUUCAGAAACCUUCAUCUGGAGUCUUGUCCCACCGGGGUGA